AUCGCUUCUCGGUCUUUUGGCUAAGAUCAUAUCUGGUAUCUGUUCUUGUCAGCUUUAUAUCUGGCAUGCUGGGAACUGCCUGGGACCAAUUUUAAAAUAAUUUUUGCUUCUUGCGUUAACAUCGAAGCUUGCUUCGGUUGACUCACGGAUUGUCCCGGUCUUACACUACCAUAAGGAUAUGUCUGCUUCAG
This is a small nuclear RNA of Symsagittifera roscoffensis, 191 nucleotides long. RefSeq annotates it as U2 spliceosomal RNA. The record is from RefSeq and is a predicted model, not a curated record. The transcript has a single exon. Lineage: Eukaryota; Metazoa; Xenacoelomorpha; Acoela; Convolutidae.